AGGAUUAACGCUGGCGGCGUGCCUAACACAUGCAAGUCGAACGAGGUAGCAAUACCUAGUGGCAGACGGGUGAGUAACGCGUGGUCAACCUACCGUUGAGUGGGGGAUAACUAGCCGAAAGGUUAGCUAAUACCGCAUACGAGUCUCGGGGGCAUCCCUGGGCCUUAAAAGGAGCAAUCCGCUCGAUGACGGGACCGCGUCCCAUUAGCUAGAUGGUGGGGUAACGGCCUACCAUGGCUCCGAUGGGUAGCUGGUUUGAGAGAGCGACCAGCCACACUGGGACUGAGAAACGGCCCAGACUCCUACGGGAGGCAGCAGUGAGGAAUUUUCCGCAAUGGGCGAAAGCCUGACGGAGCGACGCCGCGUGUGGGAAGAAGGCCUUCGGGUCGUAAACCACUGUCGAAGGGGACGAGUAAUGACGGUACCCUUGGAGGAAGCCCCGGCUAACUACGUGCCAGCAGCCGC
Molecule: ribosomal RNA, 465 nt
Filed under: uncultured bacterium
Lineage: Bacteria
Description: SSU rRNA
Rfam family: Bacterial small subunit ribosomal RNA
Source: RNAcentral